UUGUAUCUGAUAAUGUAUUCAUAAGAUGCGGUAGACAUGAAUGACAGUAACAACAAACAACUGCGGAUGCUCAUUUAGAAAGAAAAUUUACAACCGAAGCUAGCACGCAUAGUUCCUGUGGCUUCUGCUCGGUUCAGCCAUUAAAAAAAGCAUCAAAAAUCCCCACCGAGCAGCUUCUAUGUGGACCUUAUCCACAUCGCCGUUCCUCUUUAGCAGUAAUGCUUCUCCUUCCUUCUCUAUCGAUCCAUCAACGGCUCUGCUCUCCUUCCCCUCUCUCUUCGUGCUGCAUCCACACACACACACACGGCGCUGCUUUCCCCCCUCUCUCUUCUUCCUCCACAAGGAACCAAGCAUCACUCUCUGCUUGACCGUGGCGCCAGAAUCGAGCACGGAUGCGCGCGGCUGUCUCGCCCGUGACCGGGGCUGCUUCGCGUUCGUCGGUAGGUUGCGGCACUGUUGCUGCCCGUAUGGGCUCCCAGUGGCCGGGCGUGCACGUGCCGGGGCUGGCUGGGCUCCCAGGAGCCGGGCUCCCCGCCUCCUCCAACAUCGGCUGGAGAGGAGCUCCUCUGUGCUUCCUAGCCGCCUCCUCCAGCAGGCCAGCCAGAGCAACCGCCCCUCUCUUUCAGAUUUUCUCUUUUCUUCUGUAAUCUGCCUUCUUCUUCUUCUUCUUCUUCUUCUUCUUCUUCUUCUUCUCUAAUCUCCCUUCUUCUCCUUCUUCUAUCUCUAAUCUCUGCUUUCUCCAGAGAAGGGAGUCGCCACAUGGAACACAACCAGAACGCCUCGCCUUGGAGCUCGCUGCCUCCGGCAACCUCUCUGUCGGCCUCGUGCUCCUCCACCUCGAGCGCCGCCUCCUACCCGUCAUCCAUCUCCUGGAGGUGCCUGUCAGGCAGGGGUUGAUGCUUAUCCUCGACUCUCUCUGUCAGCUCUCUCCUUCUCCAAGCCGAGGAGGAUGAAUGGGGAGGAUGAAUGGGGCUCUUGCAGGUCGGCCGCUAUGUCCGCGUUGACUGCGGGCGAGCGCGUGCGACCGACACACACGGCCCCGCCUCUGCUCCUCGUCCUUCUCUAGCCUGGGCAGCGUGCCGCCCGCCUGCUCCCGAUCAGAUGGGGAGCGCCGCCGCUCGAUCCCAAAAAGAAUCUCGAACCAUUUUUUCUAAACUUAUCGAGAAUGCGGGUUGAAUAGCGAAAAUAGAAGAGUCUUUUA
This is a long non-coding RNA of Triticum aestivum (bread wheat), 1201 nucleotides long. RefSeq lists it as uncharacterized. The transcript has 2 exons. Lineage: Eukaryota; Viridiplantae; Streptophyta; Magnoliopsida; Poales; Poaceae. The record is from RefSeq and is a predicted model, not a curated record.